GCGGAUAUGGCGGAAUAGGCAGACGCGCUAGCUUCAGGUGCUAGUCGGGGCAACCCGGUGCAGGUUCAACUCCUGUUAUCCGCACCA
Molecule: transfer RNA, 87 nt
Filed under: Ruminococcus flavefaciens
Lineage: Bacteria; Bacillati; Bacillota; Clostridia; Eubacteriales; Oscillospiraceae
Also listed under: 2 other names
Description: tRNA-Leu
Rfam family: tRNA
About the family: Transfer RNA (tRNA) molecules are approximately 80 nucleotides in length. Their secondary structure includes four short double-helical elements and three loops (D, anti-codon, and T loops).
Source: RNAcentral